Molecule: ribosomal RNA, 460 nt
Filed under: uncultured bacterium
Lineage: Bacteria
Description: partial 16S ribosomal RNA
Rfam family: Bacterial small subunit ribosomal RNA
Source: RNAcentral
CCUACGGGAGGCAGCAGUGAGGAAUCUUGGUCAAUGGACGAGAGUCUGAACCAGCCACGUAGCGUGAAGGAUGAAUGCCCUAUGGGUUGUAAACUUCUUUUAUAAAGGAAUAAAGUAAGGCACGUGUGCCUUUUUGUAUGUACUUUAUGAAUUAGGAUCGGCUAACUCCGUGCCAGCAGCCGCGGUAAUACGGAGGCUCCGAGCGUUAUCCGGAUUGAUUGGGUUUAAAGGGAGCGUAGAUGGGUUGUUAAGUCAGUUGUGAAAGUUUGGGGCUCAACCGUAAAAUUGCAAUUGAUACUGGCAGUCUUGAGUACAGUUGAGGUAGGCGGAAUUCGUGGUGUAGCGGUGAAAUGCUUAGAUAUCACGAAGAACACCGAUUGCGAAGGCAGCUUACUAAACUGCCACUGACAUUGAGGCUCGAAAGUGUGGGUAUCAAACAGGAUUAGAUACCCUUGUAGUC